UAUAUAGUUGUAUGAUCACAAUAUUCCAAUUUCUUGAUCUUGUCUAGUUGGGGCUUGUAUUUGAAACCGCUGCAUGAUAGAUGUGCCUCGCUAGUUAGAGACCGCAAAGAGAUAAUAGAGAGAGGGUGGGAUUUAUCAAAGAGAGAUUGGGCCACAGUUUGUUUGCAAUCACUGAACUGAGCUAGUUUUGAGGUGGGGUGGGUGCCUGUGACAUUAUCAUGUGAGAUGGUCUCCGAGGUCUGAACAGAGUCUUCCAGCACAUGAGUUGUUUAGCUAGUGCCGGCCAAAAUAUAUACUGAUCACCCGCCUGUAAAUCUUGACAGGCCUGCAGGGGAGGAGGUCACUGUCGCUGUACAAUGGAUCUUCUAAAUCAAAACAGCAAGAGAUAGGUUCACGAUGCGGGCACCUAAUCUUGUGAUUUUAGCAUAUACACAUUCCCCUCUUCUUCGAUCUAUAAGGAGGGUUUGCUUUCGUUUCCUUGUCAUAUGAUGUGACCCUAUUUGACCUUGAAAAGCCAAUUGACAUAAAUAUUGCACAUGGGUUCAGGGAUCAAUCAGGCAGCAGUUCUAUAAAUCUCUGGCGGAUCAUCGUCUAAGCUAUAAAUGGUUGAAAAUGAAUGCCAUGUCUAAGAUAAGGAGGAUCUAGUACCGAAAAUCUAGAGCAAUCUUGCGGUCAAACCACCAGGGAUACUGUACGCAGGUGCCUCUCCAUUUUAUUUAUUUCGUCCCUACGCUGUAAUAAGAUGAUGAAGUAAGUUCCCUAAUUUCUCUCUAAAGCGCAGUAUUCUAGUUGUAAUGUAGCGUAAUGUUGCAGAGCAAUCAUUGUAGCCGAGCUUGUACUUGCUCCAUAAAUGAAAGCAAUCUUGGGUACUCGCAGUCUGGUGUUUUGGUCCAUGCAUGAUGAACCGAAAAGAAUAUGAAUGGGUUCACGAGCAAUGUGCAUUAACUUUUGUGGGCUUUACUUACUGUUUAGACAAUCGGAAGGUGCAAGAUUUUCGUGUUGCUCAUUCCAUGCCUGUCCUCCAGAUAGGGUGAAUUAGCACAGGUGUACAUGAAAAAAAAAAUUCUUAUUCAACAUCAAAAGGACUAUAUAUGAUAUGUCCCGUCGCAAAACUCAAACGAUGGUAUGCUUGAAGUGAAAACAGCCUUCUGUGUUGUUAAUUUAACACAUUUCUUUCAAUUGAGAAUAGUUAUCUAGCUCGAAAUGUGAACGUAAGUAGCAGUUCAAACA
Long non-coding RNA from Populus nigra (black poplar), 1230 nucleotides. RefSeq lists it as uncharacterized. The transcript has 3 exons. NCBI's taxonomy places the organism in Eukaryota, Viridiplantae, Streptophyta, Magnoliopsida, Malpighiales, Salicaceae. The record is from RefSeq and is a predicted model, not a curated record.